CCCUGGCUGGCUCAGUCGGAAGAGCAUGUGACUCUUGAUCUCAAAGUUGUGAGUUCGAGCCCUAUGUUGGGUG
Ailuropoda melanoleuca (giant panda) is the source of this 73-nucleotide non-coding RNA. The record is from Rfam. Lineage: Eukaryota; Metazoa; Chordata; Mammalia; Carnivora; Ursidae.